Molecule: long non-coding RNA, 4691 nt
Organism: Cercocebus atys (sooty mangabey)
Lineage: Eukaryota; Metazoa; Chordata; Mammalia; Primates; Cercopithecidae
Exons: 3
Source: RefSeq, a predicted model, not a curated record
UUUGGGAAAUACGAGCUGAAGCAUCAUCUUCAUCUAAUGAGUUGGUCUCCUGCAAGCUACUCCAGAUCGCAGUUCCCGAGAAACUCCCAGGCCUCCGUGUCCCCUGACCGGCCUGAGGGGCCCGCGGCCUUGGCCAGCCGUGGGUCACAUUGCAUGACCCGAUGCUCUGUGAGCUGCCUUCGUAGGCAGGGACAGCAGCGCUCUGGGCUUCCACGCACUGGGUUCUCCUGUUACCCAGCCCCGCCCCCCACCCCCGCCCACACACACAGGACUUCUCCUCUUUAUUUUGGGAUAUUUUUCUUUGGUUCUGAUUCCCAGGCUGCUUCCUGGCUACACAACUCUGUCUCCUCUAGACCAGAAUUCUGGUUCCCACGCCGGGUCUUGGGGACCGUGGCGAUCGCUGCCUGUCAUGGAAACUUCAGAGGGCAUCCCACGCACCGUGUGACUGUCUUAAAGCAAGUGACAGCAAGUGCUGGCGGGGGCUCAGAUUACCUGGUAUGGCAAGACCCCACUUUCCGAUACGGAGAAAACAAGAAAAUUUAGGAGCAGAGGACUGAGGAGCAGGUGCAGGGGCCAUACACAGUGGGCCUGGAACCUCCUGUGAUCCGCCAGCACCCGCGGGAGAUGGGCCACACUCCAUCACACGCUGGUACUGAGCCCGCAGAGAUGAGAAGCAGGCCACGGGGUGACCCAGAGGAAGCCAGGCCUGCCUGUGUGUGGUGAGGCACAGGGCCUGCCGAAUGGAAGCAAAACACACAGGGACCUCCCGCCGGCAGCGAGCAGGAGGGAGGGGCAGAGUCACCUGCACUGGAUGAUGUCGCUGAGGCUUUCUCUGGGGUUACGCUAAAGGGCCUCAUAGAACCAAGCAGUAAUGAUUUCCUGGGUCUCUCAUCCUGGAACCCCAGUAAAUUAGAGGCCUCUAAUAUCUGAAUGUGCAUAUCCCAUUGAAAUGAUAAAUGGCUUAUCCUGCUCUAGGGAGCUUACAGGCAGAUAGAGGGGCAGGUGAGGCUGUCUCAGGAGAGGCAAAGCUCCAGGCUGGGCAUGCACACUGGGGCUAGAAUUCAGUGACAGAUGAGCUCUGGGAGGCUGAGGCACAGGCAGGGUGCAGGAGGCCAGGGCUCUGCAGCUGGAGGUCACUGGCUAAGAGCCUUGGUUGGGGCUCUGCGCCCACAUUUGUCUUGACCUUGAAUGAGCCACUCCUCUCAGGGUGUGUGCAUUUGGGCUAUGCCGCCUUCAGAGGUGGCCGCAGGUGGACUGGCCCUUCGAACACAGGUUCAUGGUUGGAACUGUCAUGGAAAAGGAAGAAUCCUUCAUUUUCAUCCCCUAUUUAGCCACCAGCAGGGCCCAGAGCCCUUCUCCAUGUUGCCUGUGCAAACACAGUUUUCCAGCUGAUAAGACAAGGGCAGAUCCUGGAUUUGCAGCCCCAUGAGUCUCCACCAGCUCAAGCACACCUUGGUUCCGUAGGUGUCAGCUGCCUUCGUUGCAUCAUAAUUAAUGCUGAUCGUUACUUGGUAGGCAUUUUAACAGUCUUGGGGGCCCUGUGACUUGCAUAAGGCCCAGUUAAGUGGGACUCAGAUGAGGCCUUGGAGCCUGCAGCUUCAUCCAGGAGCACCCGUGAGUGGUGCGAGAGGGGCAGGCAGUGAGAACAGAGGGCUGGGGCCUAGGGAGGUUCUUGGGAGCCCCUGCAGCCCCCUUCUUGCUUUCUCUCCCCUUGGUGCUUUCACAGCCACUUUCCAGACGUUCCGCAUGCCCGGGGCUUUCGCUUUCCCAGGGUCUGGAUUUCUGGAUUGUGCCCCUGAUUUUUCUUUCCCGGGUUUCUCCCCACAGUACGGUUUAUUUCCUUCAUUUUCCAUGCCAGCAGGAUACUGCUCUUGGCUUGCUGUCCAAUGCUGGGGAAAAUGAAUGCAUCAACUCAUGAGGCAAGCUCCAAAGGUGCACUGGGGUAUACGGCCCUGAGGUGAGCAGACACGUGGGAGGGAAGGUAUGAAAUCCAGAUCUGGAUUCUUAUGAGGAAUUUCAGGUAUUCUGGCUGACAGCUGAAAUAUUUAAUUGAACAAACAUUUCCCAGCUCCCUCAAUUCACUGCACAGAGUUCUACCCUCUCAGCCUAGACCAGAGGCAGGCCCUCCUGGUGGCCGCCCCUCCCGAACGCCUCACAGGAGCCUGUCUCGGUUUGGAGCUGUGCUGAGCUCUACCGAUUAGCAGUUUCUUUCGUCAUUUUAACGUAGGGUUUCCUGGGUCAGCCAGAGACCUGCAUAUCUAAAACGCUCUUAUGUCUGCAGGCGAAAGGCUCCUGAUUUGUAAGGCUAAUGAGGAUUUUAGAACAUUUAACAGAGGUUUUGAAAAUUUGGAAACAAUGCAGCUGUUAUCUUUCAGCGCAUCCUUGCCCUUCCGUUUCCUGGAUGAGUUCUCCUCCCCCGGGGACUGUCUUCUCUCAUCUCUUUGAAUUGUACACAGGCCCCCCAGUGGAUGGCACCUGCUGCCCUGCCAGCCCCAGCCAAACCUCUCCUUGCUCGGUUUUAUCCUGUUCCCAGGAGGAAACUGAUCUUUCUUUAAUCAAAGCUCAAAUCCGUGCACUUCACAAGACCAGUCCCCAGCCCGCCCUCGUCCACGGUCUAGAAUCUUUGGCCAGAAGUUGACUGUGUUUUUCAUCUCCUGCUGGACGGUCAGCUCUGGGGCUAGAAAAGCCUGGAGAGAUGGUAAGAGCAGCCAGGACAAAGAAACAGAAGACUCUUCUUGCAAAGAAUAAAAGGAGUGUCUGCUGUGAGCCUCGGGAUGGGUGAGGAAAGCUGCCACACCCUUCUGCCACUACAUCUACACAGACGCACUUUCUUUGGAUACAUCCACAACAAACUUUUCCUCGUAAAUUUCCACGUGUGAAUGAGGUCAGUCGCGGGAGUGAUGCUGAAGCACAUCUGACGUGUCCUGGAGGCUGAUUAGAGGCAGCAGCCCAGGCCCACUCAGAUGCCCGGGGUGACCUGACGCACAUCACCCUCUUCUCGCAGAUCCCGGGAAGGAAACCAGUGAGGCUCGUGCGUUACAGGGCAUGAGGAAAUUACAGACUCUGAAGUUUGUGAGGCCAUCUUAAGUGAUUUUCAAGGGCAUCAUCUAUACUCCAGCAAGCACUGCAACCAUCGUUUUACACAGAAAAAGCAAUUCUGGUCGAUUACAAAAGCCUCCACUGCCCAGAAUAUAAUUCGACCUGGACAUGUGCUGGUGUCAGACUCCAGAAAGUGCAUUCUGUCCGGCACAGACAACCUGGGAAUCAAAAGUAAAGUGGUUUCUACUUAUUUGAACCACGAACUGUGCACACAGAAACCUUCUUUCACUUAGGAUUAAGUGUUUUCCUUCAAACGCCUCUUGAGUGACUCGCUAUCAAUUCAGAAAGGCCACCUGUCCAGCAGACAGCAAAGAAAAACAGCCUAGCUUUGUCUCGGGAAAAAAACUCGUCUUCCUGUCUCCCUUUCUGGUUCUGCACCGAAAGUCAAGCACCUUCCCCAGACACCAGAGUGCGAAUGCAGGAGCUAAACCCUCCUGCAAAGACACGGGAUGGUUCUAUUGAAAAAUAACUGUGCCUUUUUAAUGUUUUGCUUCUGUAUUUUAUAACAGCUCUCUGGUAGCUGAUGCCCGCUCCCUUUCCAACGCUCAGUGCCGUUCCUCCUUCCUCUGCUCCCUCAGACGGAACCGGGCUGGCUGCCUCUGUUCUGAGAAGCCUGCGGCUGACUGUGGGCUUGACAUGAGAUAUUUAUCAUCUCAGGAUGUCUUCCCUCAGAUCGCCGGCUCUCCACCCCCAGACUUCUUUAUCUUAUUUUGCUAAACAAGAUGAGUUUCCGUCACUGCUAGAAGUAAUUGACUUGUUUUUUAAUAUAUAUCAAGGCCCAGGUUAACAACUGGACAAUGCAAUGCAUUUAUUAUUCUCUCUCUCUUGUUUAUUCUAGUGUGAAAUUGUUUUCCAGGUAGUGAUUAAUUCUGCCGAAGCUUCCUGCCCUUGCUGGGUAAUUUGCUGUGUUUGGGAAGAAGAUGCUCACUGCACAGCUCUGCUGUCAGAGGUGUCCCUACUGCUUUGUCAAACGCUCGCGCCUCUGUUGUCUUCUGCCAAUCCGUCAGGCCUGUGGUCCUUCCCUCAUUUCCCGGUUCUGAGUUUCCUGUGGGGACGACUGAUGCGGGGUCUGUGGGGAGACUGUGUCAGGAGGCUGGGGUGGGCUGGGGAGGGCCCCUGGCGGUGGCUCCAAGGCAUCUCCGCCGUAAUGGGGAACAGAGUGGCUGGCUGCCCCAGUGUCAGCCGGUUCUGAAAGUGGGAAUGACUCAGCUGAGCUGAGAUGUCACUGGUGGAGACUCAGACUGAGGAUUCUGACUCCCUGGGCUGAGGAACAGCAGUGCUGGGAACACGGGGCGGACAAGGUAUGACGAAGCUGGAGAGCCUCAUAUUAUCCCCAUGGAAGCGGCGACGGACCCCCAGAACCAUUCCUGGGCCGUGGGAGCGAGGACGCUGGGGGCACAAGGACGAGCUGAAGAAGUUGUCCCGAUUGUGGCUGUCGGAGGGAGGACGUGGCUGUCGGAGGGAGGACGUGGCGUCGUGGUGGGCCAGAGUAUCAGCCUCAACACCACCCACCCCUCAGGCCGCAGCCCUCCCCGUGGCUGCUGUGUGCACUGGAGGGCACUUGGCAGCAUCUCCAGCCUCCCCACUAAGAA